CGAAAAUAAAAUAAAAAAUGGCGGUUAACAAUUUAAAGCGCUGCUUGAAGUUAGGGGAGAAAUAUAUGUUAAAUGUGCAUUGUUUGAGGUGUAGUAGUUUUGAUGUGAAAAAUUUCAAAUCUAAAAACGAAACAGAAAAUGAUGGUUGUAAAGAGAGGGGUUUGAAGUGGACACAAACUGUCCUUGUUUCAGUAUUAGGUUUAGGGUUAGGUUUGGGUUAUGUCAAUAAAGACAAGUUUGCCGAAGCAUUUAAGGAUUUCAGGGUGUUACCAAUUAUUCAAGCAGCAACAGUUAUUGUUCCUGGUGAUGACGAGGGCUCUAAAGGACCAGGAAGGAGAUUUCGCUUUAACUUCAUUGCCGAUGUUGUGGAAAAAGUUGCCCCUUCGGUUGUGUACAUAGAAAUCCGUGAUAACAGAUGGUUGUCAACGGUUUCAAAUGGAUCUGGCUUUAUUGUCAAAGAAGAUGGUCUCAUACUGACAAAUGCCCAUGUAGUAAUCGGUAAACCACGUAGCAAAGUUCAGGUGCGGCUGCAGGAUGGUAAAGAGUAUUAUGGUGUUGUGGAGGAUAUAGACGUUAAAUCAGACUUGGCAACUGUUCGCAUCCCUUGUAAGAAUCUCCCCGUGAUGACUCUCGGCUCGUCGCAGACGUCUCGCCCGGGCGAGUUCGUGGUCGCGCUCGGCAGUCCCCUGUCGCUGUCCAACACCAUCACCGCCGGCGUGAUCAGCUCCGUGAGCCGGCCGAGCGAGGAGCUGGGGCUCCGCGGCCGGGACAUGGAGUACAUCCAGACGGACGCCGCCAUCACGUUUGGAAACUCCGGGGGACCGUUGGUGAAUUUGGAUGGUGAAGCAAUUGGUAUAAACUCGAUGAAAGUGACCGCUGGUAUAUCAUUUGCUAUUCCAAUUGAUUAUGCAAAAGAUUUUCUUAAGAGAAGUGGAGAAAAGAAGAAAGCAGGUGGAAAUAUUGCAGGAACAUUGGAUCGCCCAUCCGGUCGCCGGCGUUACAUCGGCGUCACGAUGAUGACGCUGACUCCUCAGAUAAUUGAGGAGAUGCAGUCGAGAAGUCGCAUUCUGAGUGUUGACGUCACACAUGGAGUCAUGAUGUGGCGAGUUGUCGUUGGAUCCCCAGCACACAAAGCUGGAAUUCUACCGGGAGAUAUAAUAACACAUCUGAAUGAGAAACCCGUGAAGGAUGCCCGUGAUAUCUACAAGGCUCUAGAGGAGGAGGGAAUUCUCGUGGUCUCUGUUGUUCGCCAAGGCCACCGAUUCCAAGCAACCAUUGUUCCUGAGGAAACAUAAGAAGUGGAUACAAGCUUGUCAAACUAUGGAGAAGAAAGUCUGAAGAUAUACAUCUUUUUUUUUGUUCACUGCUCCUGCACAGAUGCUCCCUGCGGGCAACAAUGACACACCACCCCACCCAUCUUCGAUCAGUGGGACUGGCACGCACCACCCGAAGUCACUCCGCACAGGGUUGCCACCCACCUGGUACACCGAUGGCCUCCCCACCUGCGGCAUCUGGGACCAGAGGCUAGGCCACUCCUCCGGGUGCCCGUGCGGCUGGAUGGACGGGCCAUGGAGGUGUUAGUGGACACUGCGGCUACCCACACCUACAUCACGGCCCACCUCGUCUCCGAGGAGGACAUGGAGCACGGGGUCGAGACCAUCCAGCUGGCCACCACUGGAGGUAAAGCGCUCACGACCGGGCAUGUCCAGGUGAGCAUUACCAUUCGAGACCAAAUGAGCCAAACUCAAGCCCUCAUUGUCCACGACCUGAGGGAGGUUUUUGGGUUUCACUUGGCUGGUGCAGCAUAAGGCCACCAUUGAGGUACAUCAGGGUAAAUUUCAUGUAGGCAACCAGAGAAGGUACAUGGUACACCCCCCCCCCCUCCCCCCACGUUCGCCCAAUCACUAGGGUUCAGCCCCUCGUAACUUACAGCCAUUAGGGACCAGCUGGCAGAGUUGCAGAGAGAGGGUGUGAUCGAACCCAGCGAGUCCUACAAUUGCUGUAUCGUGAUGGCGAGCAAGAAGGACCCUUAGGUCCUCUAAGUUAACGCAAAACCCUUAGGUUUUGCGAUAACUUAGAGCCGGUGUAAGACAUCACCACAUCACCCCUCAUCAACAUUGUGUAGGUCCUCAUCAGGCUGGGUAACGCCCAGGUGUUCACAUGCCUCAAUCAUGUAUUUAGGUUACUGGCAGGUAACUGAACACCCAGCGGGCAAGCCCAAAACAUUCUUUAUGGCCCCCAUUGAAUGUACGUUCCAGUUCUGUGCCAUGCUGUUUGGGCUCAUAGAUGCCCCAGCAACAUUCCAGGUCAUGAUGGUCGGCGUCCUGGAUGAGUACGUCGGUCAGUAUGACAUGAUCAUCUGGUCCCGGACGUCAGAGAGGACCAUGCCCACCAUCUGCGCUGGUACUCAAAUGUUAGUCCACACAUGGACUCACCU
Bacillus rossius redtenbacheri is the source of this 2437-nucleotide RNA transcript. It is a transcript of the gene named serine protease HTRA2, mitochondrial, with no coding region annotated. The transcript is spliced from 8 exons. NCBI's taxonomy places the organism in Eukaryota, Metazoa, Arthropoda, Insecta, Phasmatodea, Bacillidae. The record is from RefSeq and is a predicted model, not a curated record.